Molecule: ribosomal RNA, 685 nt
Filed under: Klebsiella grimontii
Lineage: Bacteria; Pseudomonadati; Pseudomonadota; Gammaproteobacteria; Enterobacterales; Enterobacteriaceae
Description: partial 23S ribosomal RNA
Rfam family: Bacterial large subunit ribosomal RNA
Source: RNAcentral
CAGUGUCUGGUGGGUAGUUUGACUGGGGCGGUCUCCUCCUAAAGAGUAACGGAGGAGCACGAAGGUCAGCUAAUCCUGGUCGGACAUCAGGAGGUUAGUGCAAUGGCAUAAGCUGGCUUGACUGCGAGCGUGACGGCGCGAGCAGGUGCGAAAGCAGGUCAUAGUGAUCCGGUGGUUCUGAAUGGAAGGGCCAUCGCUCAACGGAUAAAAGGUACUCCGGGGAUAACAGGCUGAUACCGCCCAAGAGUUCAUAUCGACGGCGGUGUUUGGCACCUCGAUGUCGGCUCAUCACAUCCUGGGGCUGAAGUAGGUCCCAAGGGUAUGGCUGUUCGCCAUUUAAAGUGGUACGCGAGCUGGGUUUAGAACGUCGUGAGACAGUUCGGUCCCUAUCUGCCGUGGGCGCUGGAGAAUUGAGGGGGGCUGCUCCUAGUACGAGAGGACCGGAGUGGACGCAUCACUGGUGUUCGGGUUGUCAUGCCAAUGGCAUUGCCCGGUAGCUAAAUGCGGAAGAGAUAAGUGCUGAAAGCAUCUAAGCACGAAACUUGCCCCGAGAUGAGUUCUCCCUGACUCCUUGAGAGUCCUGAAGGAACGUUGAAGACGACGACGUUGAUAGGCCGGGUGUGUAAGCGCAGCGAUGCGUUGAGCUAACCGGUACUAAUGAACCGUGAGGCUUAACCUUACAACG